GGGGGAUAUUGCACGAUGGAGGAAACUCUGAUGCAGCGACGCCGCGUGAGGGAAGACGGUCUUCGGAUUGUAAACCUCUGUCUUAGGGGAAGAAAAAUGACGGUACCCUAAGAGGAAGCUCCGGCUGACUACGUGCCAGCAGCCGCGGUAAUACGUAGGGAGCGAGCGUUGUCCGGAAUUACUGGGUGUAAAGGGAGCGUAGGCGGGACAGCAAGUUGGAUGUUUAACAUAUCGGCUCAACCGAUAUCUGCAUCCAAAACUGCAGUUCUUGAGUGAAGUAGAGGCAGGCGGAAUUCCUAGUGUAGCGGUGAAAUGCGUAGAUAUUAGGAGGAACACCAGUGGCGAAGGCGGUUUGCUGGGCUUUAACUGACGCUGAGGCUCGAAAGCGUGGGGAGCAAAC
Molecule: ribosomal RNA, 400 nt
Filed under: uncultured bacterium
Lineage: Bacteria
Description: bacterial SSU rRNA
Rfam family: Bacterial small subunit ribosomal RNA
Source: RNAcentral